This 163-nucleotide unclassified non-coding RNA is filed under the name uncultured Talaromyces. Its description in RNAcentral is "sequence contains ITS2". Lineage: Eukaryota; Fungi; Ascomycota; Eurotiomycetes; Eurotiales; Trichocomaceae. The record is from RNAcentral.
CUGCCCUCAAGCGCGGCUUGUGUGUUGGGUGUGGUCCCCCUCUCAUGGGGGGACCUGCCCGAAAGGCAGCGGCGACGUUCCGCCUAGGUCCUCGAGCGUAUGGGGCUUUGUCACCCGCUCGGGAUGGACCUGCGGGGCGUUGGUCAUCCACCAUUUCUUCCAC